CCACCACUCGCUUACCCUCUCUUUCCAAUUCCAUCCACUCCCUAUUAAGAUAGAUUCGGAUAGAGAGUGGAGUGUGGAAAUUAAUUAUUGACAAGUAAUCCCCUUCCUACCUCUUUGUUAGUUAUUCUUCUCUUUCAUCGCCCUCUCUUUAAUUACCCAUCAUCAUCAACAAUAAUGUCUCACCAUUGAAUAUUAUACGCCCUCCAGAAAACAAACCCAUCGCCAUUCUUCUUCUUGCACUCCUUUCUUUAACUUCUUGAAUACAGUAAUAAGUAUGAACAUGGCUUCAUCAUUCCCCUGUAUCUCCUGUUCUUGCACUGGAUUCCUCAGCUGAAGCACCUUUGAAAAUGAAGAGA
This 356-nucleotide unclassified non-coding RNA is filed under the name Hevea brasiliensis (rubber tree). Lineage: Eukaryota; Viridiplantae; Streptophyta; Magnoliopsida; Malpighiales; Euphorbiaceae. The record is from RNAcentral.